Molecule: ribosomal RNA, 481 nt
Filed under: uncultured Thiobacillus sp.
Lineage: Bacteria; Pseudomonadati; Pseudomonadota; Betaproteobacteria; Nitrosomonadales; Thiobacillaceae
Description: bacterial SSU rRNA
Rfam family: Bacterial small subunit ribosomal RNA
Source: RNAcentral
AAACUUAAAGGAAUUGACGGGGACCCGCACAAGCGGUGGAUGAUGUGGAUUAAUUCGAUGCAACGCGAAGAACCUUACCUACCCUUGACAUGUCCGGAACUUGCCAGAGAUGGCUUGGUGCCCGAAAGGGAACCGGAACACAGGUGCUGCAUGGCUGUCGUCAGCUCGUGUCGUGAGAUGUUGGGUUAAGUCCCGCAACGAGCGCAACCCUUGUCCUUAGUUGCUACGCAAGGGCACUCUAAGGAGACUGCCGGUGACAAACCGGAGGAAGGUGGGGAUGACGUCAAGUCCUCAUGGCCCUUAUGGGUAGGGCUUCACACGUCAUACAAUGGUCGGUACAGAGGGUUGCCAAGCCGCGAGGUGGAGCCAAUCCCACAAAGCCGAUCGUAGUCCGGAUUGUUCUCUGCAACUCGAGAGCAUGAAGUCGGAAUCGCUAGUAAUCGCAGGUCAGCAUACUGCGGUGAAUACGUUCCCGGGUCUU